Molecule: small nucleolar RNA, 67 nt
Organism: Nerophis lumbriciformis (worm pipefish)
Lineage: Eukaryota; Metazoa; Chordata; Actinopteri; Syngnathiformes; Syngnathidae
Product: small nucleolar RNA SNORD49
Source: RefSeq, a predicted model, not a curated record
UUCAAUGAUGAUAACUGGAAGUGCCGUCUGAUGCGAUAACUGGCGAUGGUUAAAAGCUGGUCUGAGA